This 176-nucleotide non-coding RNA is filed under the name Nostoc sp. The record is from RNAcentral. Lineage: Bacteria; Bacillati; Cyanobacteriota; Cyanophyceae; Nostocales; Nostocaceae.
ACGAUUGAGUGAAUGUUCGGUUCUGGUGGGGAGCAGUCACCAGAGGUAACGGGGAAAGUAUGCCUAUGCUGUGCUGUAGGCUCACGGUGAAAAUCCGGCGCUGUCCCGCAACUGUGAAGGAAAGUAAUUGUGUUGACUUUCCCAGCCAGAAUGCCCGCCGAAUUUUAUCUAUGAUC